CUCUGAAGCGCCGUAGCAGUUUGAUAUUAACCAUAUACUUCAACAAUGAGUUUAUAAGAACAACGCAAUAAUAUUGCGGUUGAAAUUGUAAUUGUUAAUCAUGUGUAAGUGCAAUACAUAAUUUAAGAAAAAAGACAGUUGCGAAGAUGAUUUCUUGAUAGGGACAACAGAUUUAAUUAUGUUGAAAAAAAAUCGGGAAAAGAUAGUAGAUAUAUAUUGCUGAGCAUUACUGUGAUUUUUCUGUAUUCACAUACUAUUCUAUUUUUACUGAACUAUACUAACUUUCUCUAGCAGGAGAUCUACUUUUAAAUUGGUGGUUGUACUAGCUCGAGUAGUUUUCUUUUUAGACUUCCUUUUGUAUGGAAACGUGCAAUUUAAUGCAUGUGAAUAUAACCAGAGUUUUAGUGAUGGAGGAAUAGCCUUCCGAUCUCCAUAGCUUAAUAGAAAUGUUAUUUUUAACUAAUUCUUUGUAUGGCAUAUGAGAUACUUCGAUUGGUAUGUGUGUAAAUGAUUAUCGUAACUUUAAUGAAUGUUUAGUAAUGUAAAACUUUCAGGAUGAAGUCGUCAAUAUUUUUACCUAAAAUCCCGUAUUACACAAACCAGAGUCAUAAAAUACGAACGCGAUUACUCUCAAUAGCUGAUUACAAUACGACAUAAGUAGCUUUUCGAAAUUACAAGCCCGAAUCCAGCAAUUUCUUCCAAAAUCAACUAAAUAUUACCUUCUAUUAAGACAUAGAUUAAAAAACCGACAAACCCUUCCUCUUAAAGUAUUGUAUACCCAUAACUUCUAAGACUCGUUUAUUAUAUUCCGCAAGUUAGAAAAAUAGCAAAAGAAGUCACUUCCUAACCUUUAAUACCUAAAAUCUCCCUUAAAGCAACUGGGUCGCUUACUGCUGCUCGCUUUUGUGCCAAAAAUUUUCUUCUGGUAUGGAAAUGAAUGCUAGCGGGUCGGUUGCCUUCUUUGACCUUCUCGACAGAGGAAGUGGACUCUGGUUUAUCCUUUAAUUUUAUUUUCUUUUUCUUUUUCUCUUCUUUGUCGCUUGAGCCUGAUUUUCUCUUUUUUGAAGAACUUUCCUUAUCCUUUUUCUUGUGCUCUUUUUUCUUCUUCUUCGUUAUUUUUUCCAACUUUUUAGGAUCAAGAGCCGAACCAGUAGAGGUCUUUUUCUUACUUUUCUUCUUAGAAGAGUGCUUCUUUCUUUUUUCACGCUUAGCUUCAUCGGAUGAAGACGCAUCUUCACAUACACGAUCCUCAUCCUCCUCUGCUUUUUGCAUCCAUUCAGAAAAUUCACUAGUAAACGUCCCACCCAAAACAAAUCGUCUGGAUAGCUCAAGUGAUUUUAAACCCUUCUCAUUCGCACUCUGUCUCUCGUAUGUUAGUUGCUGCACCUUUGCUUUCUCAGCAUAGACACCAUACGCAGACUCAUCGCCGUUAAGUCGACCAAAAAUAGCGUUGAAUUCACCUAAACCGCUCCAUUCAAGAUCGUUAGUUGCUUUGGCUCCAAUUCCCAGUGUAUCAUCUUUUAGGCUGACCUUGAUGUUAUGAAUGCGACCAUGUUGCUUUUCACCCAAGCCAUUACCAUUCACCCAACCGUAGGAGGAUAAAAGCUUAAAUCCCAAUCUAUUUGUAUCUUUUGCCCAUUUAGAAUUCCGAGGAUCCACACCAAUCUGUUGUUUCUUUUUUACACCAGCCAAACCCAUGAUGUCCUGUUAAUCUUCAA
This 1718-nucleotide long non-coding RNA is filed under the name Schizosaccharomyces pombe (fission yeast). The record is from RNAcentral. Lineage: Eukaryota; Fungi; Ascomycota; Schizosaccharomycetes; Schizosaccharomycetales; Schizosaccharomycetaceae.